GUCCCCAUCGUCUAGUGGCCCAGGACCCCGGGUUCUCAGUCCGGUAACAGGGGUUCAAAUCCCCUUGGGGAUA
RNAcentral lists this transfer RNA (73 nucleotides) under Planctomycetales bacterium. Its description in RNAcentral is "tRNA-Glu". It matches the Rfam family "tRNA". From Rfam's summary of the family: Transfer RNA (tRNA) molecules are approximately 80 nucleotides in length. Their secondary structure includes four short double-helical elements and three loops (D, anti-codon, and T loops). RNAcentral also lists the same sequence under 1 other name. The record is from RNAcentral. Lineage: Bacteria; Pseudomonadati; Planctomycetota; Planctomycetia; Planctomycetales.